AUACGGAGGAUCCGAGCGUUAUCCGGAUUUAUUGGGUUUAAAGGGUGCGCAGGCGGGGGAUUAAGUCGGCGGUGAAAUUUUGCAGCUCAACUGUAAAAGUGCCUUCGAAAAUGGAUUCCUUGAGUGUAGAUGAAGUAGGCGGAAUUUGGGGUGUAGCGGUGAAAUGCAUAGAUAUCACGAGGAACUCCGAUUGCGCAGGCAGCUUACUAAACUACUACUGACGCUCAGGCACGAAGGCGUGGGGAUCAAACAGGAUUAUAUACCCUGGUAGUCCACGCAGUAAACGAUGAUUACUAGCUGUUUGCGAUACAAUGUAAGCGGCUGAGCGAAAGCGUUAAGUAAACCACCUGGGGAGUACGUUCGCAAGAAUGAAACUCAAAGGAAUUGACGGGG
RNAcentral lists this ribosomal RNA (393 nucleotides) under uncultured bacterium. Its description in RNAcentral is "partial 16S ribosomal RNA". It matches the Rfam family "Bacterial small subunit ribosomal RNA", at positions 523 to 918 of the family's 1533-position model. The record is from RNAcentral.